Molecule: ribosomal RNA, 253 nt
Filed under: uncultured bacterium
Lineage: Bacteria
Description: partial 16S ribosomal RNA
Rfam family: Bacterial small subunit ribosomal RNA
Source: RNAcentral
UACGUAGGGGGCAAGCGUUGUCCGGAAUCAUUGGGCGUAAAGAGCGUGUAGGCGGUCCGAUAAGUCCGCUCUGAAAGCCCGGGGCUCAACCCCGGGAGGCGGGCGGAUACUGUCGGGCUAGAGUCCGGAAGAGGCAAGUGGAAUUCCUGGUGUAGCGGUGGAAUGCGCAGAUAUCAGGAGGAACACCGAUGGCGAAGGCAGCUCGCUGGGACGGUACUGACGCUGAGGCGCGAAAGCGUGGGGAGCGAACAGG